UACGUAGGUGCGAGCGUUGUCCGGAAUUAUUGGGCGUAAAGAGCUUGUAGGCGGUUUGUCGCGUCUGCUGUGAAAAUCCGGGGCUCAACCCCGGACUUGCAGUGGGUACGGGCAGACUAGAGUGUGGUAGGGGAGACUGGAAUUCCUGGUGUAGCGGUGAAAUGCGCAGAGAUCAGGAGGAAUACCGAAGGCGAAGGCAGUCUUCCAAGCCGUUAUUGACGCUCAACUGCGAAGGUGUGGGUAUCAAACAGGAUUAGAUACCCGUGUAGUCCCU
RNAcentral lists this ribosomal RNA (274 nucleotides) under uncultured prokaryote. RNAcentral's name for it is "partial 16S ribosomal RNA". It matches the Rfam family "Bacterial small subunit ribosomal RNA", at positions 524 to 798 of the family's 1533-position model. The record is from RNAcentral.